RNAcentral lists this RNase P RNA (383 nucleotides) under Klebsiella pneumoniae. RNAcentral's name for it is "RNase P RNA component class A". It matches the Rfam family "Bacterial RNase P class A". Rfam says of the family: Ribonuclease P (RNase P) is a ubiquitous endoribonuclease, found in archaea, bacteria and eukarya as well as chloroplasts and mitochondria. Its best characterised activity is the generation of mature 5'-ends of tRNAs by cleaving the 5'-leader elements of precursor-tRNAs. Cellular RNase Ps are ribonucleoproteins. The record is from RNAcentral. Lineage: Bacteria; Pseudomonadati; Pseudomonadota; Gammaproteobacteria; Enterobacterales; Enterobacteriaceae.
GAAGCUGACCAGACAGUCGCCGCUUCGUCGUCGUCCUCCUUCGGGGGGAGACGGGCGGAGGGGAGGAAAGUCCGGGCUCCAUAGGGCAAGGUGCCAGGUAACGCCUGGGGGGUGUCACAGCCCACGACCAGUGCAACAGAGAGCAAACCGCCGAUGGCCCGCGCAAGCGGGAUCAGGUAAGGGUGAAAGGGUGCGGUAAGAGCGCACCGCGCGGCUGGUAACAGUCCGCGGCAUGGUAAACUCCACCCGGAGCAAGGCCAAAUAGGGGUUCAUAAGGUACGGCCCGUACUGAACCCGGGUAGGCUGCUUGAGCCAGUGAGCGAUUGCUGGCCUAGAUGAAUGACUGUCCACGACAGAACCCGGCUUAUCGGUCAGUUUCACCU